UACGUAGGUCCCGAGCGUUGUCCGGAUUUAUUGGGCGUAAAGCGAGCGCAGGUGGUUUAUUAAGUCUGGUGUAAAAGGCAGUGGCUCAACCAUUGUAUGCAUUGGGAACUGGUAGACUUGAGUGCAGGAGAGGAGAGUGGAAUUCCAUGUGUAGCGGUGAAAUGCGUAGAUAUAUGGAGGAACACCAGUGGCGAAAGCGGCUCUCUGGUCUGUAACUGACGCUGAGGUUCGAAAGCGUGGGUAGCGAACAGG
This 252-nucleotide ribosomal RNA is filed under the name uncultured bacterium. Its description in RNAcentral is "partial 16S ribosomal RNA". It matches the Rfam family "Bacterial small subunit ribosomal RNA", at positions 524 to 776 of the family's 1533-position model. The record is from RNAcentral.